CAUGUAGCAGGACCUGAUGGCACUGAGCCUGGGCAGCAUGGAGUGCUGCAGGGAAAUGCGCUCUGGCAUCUCUGGAAGCCAUGCAAGGGACUCAUUCAACAAAUUGUUUGCUGAGUAUCAAUGCACAGCAGGUGUCAUGGCCCGCAGUCCCCUGAAAUUUGCAGCCCUGGAUUUAGGACAUUUCUGCCUCACUGAAGCCCAAUCCAGGAUCUGCAAAGUUUGGGGGAGAUAAACAGUGUUUCCUGGAGAUUCACUUCCUUCGGCACUCUUUUGAAUAAAUUUCUGUGUUCAUCAUUAC
Molecule: long non-coding RNA, 298 nt
Organism: Heterocephalus glaber (naked mole-rat)
Lineage: Eukaryota; Metazoa; Chordata; Mammalia; Rodentia; Bathyergidae
Source: Ensembl